AGCGAUCAGCUAUCACGAUUUAUCGAAGCGCUGCCAUCUCAAUUGCGGAACAAAACAAUCUAUAUUAUAUUUUUGUGGGGGAGAUUUUCCCGUUUACGGCUGUUUUAAAGACCGGCGGCGCCCUUUGCAGCAGCUGUGGCCCACUACUCCGCCCUGCCUCAUCAACAAGUAAGUGGCACAAGAGCAAAUUGGGCAAAGCAUUUCGAACCAUUUAUCCGACCACUGGGACCCACACUGGCUAACGGCAACACCAAUGUUCGGUGGAGCCGGCGCUGCCCCGGCCAAUCACGCAGAUGUCGACAACGACGUGCCCUGCAUCUCCCCCAGCUACGACAGAGUGCCCGAUUGUGCCGCUGCCGGUGUCCAGCUCCCUGGGCGAACUCGCAGAAGCGUCGCAACAUUGCCGUGCAUGCCAUUAAAGCGAGGCGUCUGCUCAUCUCGACAGAUGUUGGCAGCCAUCAGGCCAUCAUUCGGGCCCGAGUCGAUGGCAAUGAGCGUAUGGAGCUGGAAGAAGUCACGGCGCUGGACCUGGACCAACAGUCCGAAGAAGUUGUAAACAUCAAUGGAAAGAACAAGUGAACAACAUUGCCGCCUAGGAGGAUUUGUGCACUGGCUGGGCGGCAAGACCGGACUGGAGAGGAUCACUGUCAACAGAGAGCGUCGUUCCGUGCAGCUGCAUCGUCUGUCGAAGUUCACCGAUAUCCGGGCCGUGUGACCACUGGAUGCGAAAGUGCUGCGCAAUCACACGGCCAAAUUGUUUCCACAACUGCAUAGCCAGCGGGGUGUGACACAGUACUCACGACGUUUGCUCGUGCCCCCAGGACAAGGAGAACUACGGCGUGUAUCCGGCCAGAUAAUUUUAAGUAGCGGGAGUAGUGACAUAAACAACGACUGUAUAUCCGCCUUCUGGCGCUGUGACGAAAGGACUGCAGGGCGGAUCACUUCAGCUGACAGUCGGUCGAGGGCAGCGACAAGGCUCUGAUCAGCGAUGGUACCACCUGUGACAAUGUCCACGAUGAGGCCGACUGCUGCAAGCGGCCAGGAGAACUUCAUACUGACAUGACAGUUUAUAAAUUCAGUUAUAGUAUUUAUGUGGCAGUCCAAUCGAAUGUAGAAAGUAUUCUAACUAAUGCAUAAAUUAUCGUAAAUGUCGUAA
This is a long non-coding RNA of Drosophila miranda, 1156 nucleotides long. RefSeq lists it as uncharacterized. NCBI's taxonomy places the organism in Eukaryota, Metazoa, Arthropoda, Insecta, Diptera, Drosophilidae. The transcript is spliced from 3 exons. The record is from RefSeq and is a predicted model, not a curated record.